UUUAAUGUUGCCAGUGAAUGCUGGGCGAGGGAACAUUCAGCACCGGGACGUGCCCUGACAUGGACUCCUCACUGUAUUUGGGCUGCAGUUGUUUUGCAAUCCUGCUGCUGUUGUUUUCCUGCAGUGUGAGAAAGCUCUUUGAAGGUCCCCAAAAGACUCUUUACUCCCGUGUCCCCCCUUUUUGGGGGUCAGUUUUCAGGUUGCCAUGCCUGCCCUGUUCUGCUGCUGCCUCUCGGCUGCUCCAGAAGAGCGGGAGCACCUUCCUGUAAACACAAGGCAGCCCUGUCGAAACAUUGGGGUCUUCAACAAGGAGGGGACCCUCACCAUGAAGCUGGUGAACGUCCAGGCCAUCGACACCCUGUUCUCUGACAUUGCCACCACCUUCAACGGGCAGCACCAGGCCCACUGUGCCAUGCUCAGGGCUGCCAAAAGGCUGAGGGAGGUUUGUGGCUGUGCCCCCACUGCUGCCCUCACAGCCUGCCUGGGCACCCUGCAGCAGGAGCAUGGUAAGCAGCUCAGAGCUGGGGAUUCACUGGCACCAGUGUUAAAUCAUUGGGACCACGGGAAUGAG
RNAcentral lists this long non-coding RNA (571 nucleotides) under Manacus vitellinus (golden-collared manakin). RNAcentral describes it as "lncRNA (ENSMVIG00005012766.1)". The record is from RNAcentral. Lineage: Eukaryota; Metazoa; Chordata; Aves; Passeriformes; Pipridae.